AGUGAACGCUGGCGGUAGGCCUAACACAUGCAAGUCGAACGGCAGCACAGUAAGAGCUUGCUCUUACGGGUGGCGAGUGGCGGACGGGUGAGGAAUACAUCGGAAUCUACUUUUUCGUGGGGGAUAACGUAGGGAAACUUACGCUAAUACCGCAUACGACCUACGGGUGAAAGCAGGGGAUCUUCGGACCUUGCGCGAUUGAAUGAGCCGAUGUCGGAUUAGCUAGUUGGCGGGGUAAAGGCCCACCAAGGCGACGAUCCGUAGCUGGUCUGAGAGGAGGAUCGGCCACACUGGAACGGAGACACGGUCCAGACUCCUACGGGAGGCAGCAGUGGGGAAUAUUGGACAAUGGGGGCAAGCCUGAUCCAGCCAUACCGCGUGGGUGAAGAAGGCCUUCGGGUUGUAAAGCCCUUUUGUUGGGAAAGAAAAGCAGCAGGUUAAUACCCCGCUGUUCUGACGGUACCCAAAGAAUAAGCACCGGCUAACUUCGUG
RNAcentral lists this ribosomal RNA (492 nucleotides) under uncultured bacterium. RNAcentral's name for it is "partial 16S ribosomal RNA". It matches the Rfam family "Bacterial small subunit ribosomal RNA", at positions 29 to 507 of the family's 1533-position model. The record is from RNAcentral.